ACGCGCCACCACCGGGACCGCCUCUUCAGAAUUUGCAGCCUCAACCGCAGCAACAGCCACCGGUGUAUAAUAUUAACAAGAGUGAUUUUAGGGAUGUUGUUCAGAAGCUUACUGGUUCCCCUGCUCAUGAACGGAUUUCUACUCCUCCGCCUAUACAACAGCCUAAGGCUCCGAGUUCACGGUUGCAGAGGAUCCGUCCUCCGCCGCUUGCUCAGAUCACCAACCGGCCUCCUCCCUUCGUGAACGCUUCUAACGUUGUUGCUGGUGGAGGUAUUGGAUGUGGUGGUGGAUUUGUUGGCUGUCAACGACCUGUUCACGCACAGCCGUUAUCUCCUCUUCCGCCGUUUCCGGCAGUGCAUGCCGCGGCGGAAUCGCCUAUCUCCGCCUACAUGAGGUUUCUACAGAGCUCAAUCGCCUCUGGUUCCAGUGGGUUAUCACCACUGGCUCCGCGGUGGAUCAACGUUGGUCCGCCGCAGCAGCAGCCGCCAUUUCCGCCUCAGUCGUUUCCGCUGCCGCAGCAACAGAACAUUCCUCCGCCGCCGACCGCGUCUUCUUCCGUUUUACCACCAUUUCCGGCUUUUCCGUCAUCGCCGCUGCCGUUUGGGUGUUUGCCGUCGCCAAAAUCGCCGUACGGUUUGCU
This 640-nucleotide long non-coding RNA is filed under the name Nicotiana tabacum (common tobacco). RNAcentral's name for it is "long non-coding RNA (NTAB_LNC013308)". Lineage: Eukaryota; Viridiplantae; Streptophyta; Magnoliopsida; Solanales; Solanaceae. The record is from RNAcentral.